GAAAUGGAAUGCCAUAGGAAAGGCUGGGAUGAUCCAUUCAGAGCAGUUGAGAAAUGGAUUGCAUUUGCAUGCGGUCUGUAUGAGUGUAUACUUCCCUCUGUGGUCGUAGUGUGUAGGCAUCUGGUCAUCAUGGUGACUUGUCCUGCGGUUGGACGCUCAGCAGCGGAAUGCAGACAUGUGGGUGGGAGUCGUCAACUAUGUGGUCAGCCUGUGGACUUCUCCUUUGGGCUUCAUCAUGGACAUGGAAAACAAGCCCAACAUCAUCAACAAGAACAAAAACAACAAAAAAGUAACAGUUCUGUUUGUCUUGGACCUCAUGCAAUCUGAAAAGAACAAAACAGCCUUGAAAGGAACAGCAGCUGCAGGUCUGUCACAACAGAAGGUGGCAGAUGGCCAGUAGUGGGUAGAGAUGUGACACCAACCCUGC
Molecule: long non-coding RNA, 427 nt
Organism: Alosa sapidissima (American shad)
Lineage: Eukaryota; Metazoa; Chordata; Actinopteri; Clupeiformes; Clupeidae
Exons: 3
Source: RefSeq, a predicted model, not a curated record